CAGGAGAGGCAAGGGAGUGGCCAGCCAAAGGUCCAUCCAGCACUCAAGGACCCCACCAAGGGCUGGUCACCUGCCCAGGGACUCAGAACACAUGAGUCACCCUACGUGAGCUCAGGAUCCUGGCAAUACACAGGCACGCUGAGCCCUGAUGUUCCUAAUCCCUCUCCAGCACCCUCCAGCCUUGCAGAAGCAGCCACCAUGCCAGUGUCUAAGUGCCUGAAAAGGUCGGAGCCCCUGUGGAAGGGGUGGGACCGGAAGGCCCAGAAGAACGGCCUGCGGUACCAGGUGUACGCUGUGAACGGCGACUACUAUGCGGGCGAGUGGAAGGACAACUUGAAACACGGGAAAGGAACACAGGUCUGGAAGAAGAACGGAGCCAUCUAUGAAGGGGACUGGAAGUUUGGGAAGCGAGACGGCUAUGGCACCCUCAGCCUUCCUGAUCAACAGACAGGAAAGUACAGGAGAGUCUACUCAGGCUGGUGGAAAGGUGAUAAGAAAUCGGGUUAUGGGAUCCAGUUUUUCGGACCCAAGGAGUAUUAUGAGGGUGAGUGGUGUGGCAGCCAGCGCAGCGGGUGGGGCCGCAUCUACUACAGCAACGGCGACAUCUACGAGGGACAGUGGGAGAAGGACAAGCCACACGGGGAGGGCAUGCUGCGCCUAAAGAACGGGAACCGCUACGAGGGCUGCUGGGAGAGGGGCAUGAAGAACGGACCGGGGCGUUUCUUCCAUCUGGACCACGGACAGCUGUUUGAAGGCUUCUGGGUGGACAAUAUGGCCAAGUGCGGGACAAUGAUCGACUUUGGGCGUGAUGAGGCCCCUGAGCCUACUCAGUUCCCCAUUCCUGAGGUCAAAAUCCUAGACCCUGAUGGUGUGCUGGCAGAAGCCUUGGCCAUGUUCAGGAAGACAGAGGAAGAAGGAGAUUGAUGCUGGGUGAAGGGUGGGCACGCCUGCCAUGCUCUUCCGUGGCUGAGGCUGCUCCAGGGCCGGGAUCAAUGCACACAUCUCCUGGGGUCUCCAAAGGGCUCGGGAUGGGGGCGCGGGGGAGCAAGACCAGAGAGGGCAGUCUUCUUGCCUUCUAUGUUCCAGUGUGGUUUUUGGCUCUUCCUCUUCAAACCCCCUUUUGGCCAGGUGUGGUGGCUCACGCCUGUAAUCCCAACACUUUGGGAGGCCAAGGCAGGUGGAUCACUUGAGGUCAGGAAUUCGAGACCAUCCUGGCAAACAUGGUGAAACCCCAUUUCUACUGGUAGCAGGCGCCUGUAAUCCCAGCUGCUUGGGAGGCUGAGGCAGGAGAAUUGUUUGAACCCAGGAGGCAGAGAUUGCAGUGAGCCGAGAUCGUGGCAUUGCACUCUAGCCUGGGCGAGAGAGUGAGAGUCCGUCUCAAAAACAACAAAACUCAAAACUGAUUUCACUGAAGACCAGUGCAUUCCAGAGAACACCGACGCUUCAGGAGAAAUUCAAGUCCGUGUCACCCAGUCAUUCAGAUCAGUGCAGCUCUGGCUGGAAGAGUCAGCAGUGGCUCUGCACAAACCUGGCACCCUCAGAGGGCCCCUCACUCCCCCAAGCACUGGGUAGUUUCUUGCCAAUAGGAAGGCCAGUGCUUCUCUCCCAGGCUGGCCUUGGGACCCUCUUGCGGCCUUCGUUUUCUGAUCUCAUCCUGCAGUGCAUGAGAAUAAAGAGCCAGGUGGUGUAAGCCCGGGCCUGUGGUGUGAGGGUGGGCAUGCAAGGGGGCACAGGAGGGGUUUCAGGUGGGGAAAGACAUCCCCUGGCUGGGCUGCCUGGGCUUAGCUUGGGGAGGAGGUCUUAGGCCGGGUGCACUGGCUCAUUCCUGCAACCCCAGCACUUUGGGAGGCCAAGGCAGGAGGGAUCACUUGAGGCUGGGAAUUCAAGACAAGCCUAAGCAACAUAGCAAGAUCCUGACUCUACAGAAAAGAAUUUUUUUUUUUUUUGAGAUGGAAUCUCGCUCUGUCAUCAGGCUGGAGUGUAGUGGCGUGAUCUUGGCUCACAGCAACGUCUGCCUCCCGGGUUCAAGCGAAUCUCCUGCCUCAGUCUCCCGAAUAGCUAAGACUACAGGUGCACGCCACCACAUCCAGCUGAUUUUUGUAUUUUUAGUAGAGACAAGGUUUCACCAUGUUGGCCAGGAUGAUCUUGAUCUCUUGACCUUAUGAUCCGCCUGCCUCGGUCUCUCAAAUGGUGGGAUUACAGGCAUGAGCCACUGCAUCUGGCAAACAAAAAAAUUUUAAAAAUAUAAAAGAAAGGAAAAGAAAGGGCUGGGUGUGGUGGCUCAUGUUUGUAAUCCCAGCCCUGUGGGAGGUUGAGGUGAGCAGAUCACAAGGUCAAGAGAUCGAGAUCCUGGCCAACGUGGUGAAACCCCAUCUCUACUGAAAAUACAAAAAUUAGCUGGGUGUGGUGGCACGGGCCUGUAAUCCCAGCUACUUGGGAGGCUGAGGCAGGAGAAUCACUUGAACCAGGGAUGCAGAGGUUGCUGUGAGCUGACAUCUUGUCACUGCACUCCAGCCUGGUGAUAGAGCAAUGAGACUCCAUCUAAAGAAAAAAAAGAAAAGAAAAAGCAAAAGAAAUGGCAGGUGCCCUGUGAUAUAACCCAAAGAAAACCUGCAUCCUGCCACCGAGAUUACAGAUUAAAAUUUCCUGACCACCUCUCAACCUAACACAGGGCUCUCAACCUUGAAAUCCCAUGGAAACUUUACAAAGCUAGGGAAGCCCAGGUCCCAUGCCCAAAGAUUCACAUCUAAUUCAUCUGGGGUGAGGCCUGAGCUUCCAGAAAGUUCCCUAGGGAAUUUUUUUUUUUUUUUUUUUGAGACCAAAUCUGGCUCUGUCGCCCAGGCUGGAGUGCAGUGGCUCAAUCAAGGCUCACUGUAACCUUUACCUCCCAGAUUCAAGUGAUUCUCCUGCCUCAGCCUCCUCAGUAGCUGGAUUACAGGGGUGCACCACCACACCCGGAUAAUUUUUGUAUCUUUAGCAGAGAUGGGGUUUCACCAGAUUGGUCAGGCUGGUCUCCAACUCCAGACCUUGUGAUCUGCCUGCCUCAGCCUUCCAAAAAGUGCUGGGAUUACAGACGUGAGACACUGCGCCCGGCCUGAUUUAUUUAUUUAUAGACAGAGUCUCGCUGUGUCUCCCAGGCUGGAGUGCAAUGGCGCGAUCUCGGCUCACUGCAACCUCCGCCUCCUGGGUUCAAAGGAUUCUCCUGCCUCACCCUCCCAAGUAGCUGGGACUACAGGCACCUGCCACCACGCCCGGCUAAUUUUUUGUAUUUUUAGUAGAGAUGGGGUUUCACUGUGUUAGCCAGGAUGGUCUCGAUCUCCUGAUCCCAUGAUCCGCCUGCCUUGGCCUCCCACAAUACUGGGAUUACAUGAGCCACCACAUCUGGCUAUUAUUUAUUUUUUUGAGACAGAGUCUCACUGUCACCCAGGCUGGAGUGCAGUGGCAUGAUCUUGGUUCACUGCAACCUCCGUCUCCUGAGUUCAAGCGAUUCUCCUGCCUCAGCCUCCUGAGCAGCUGGGAUUACAGACACCUACCACCAUGCCUGGCUAAUUUUUUGUAUUUUUAGUAAAGAUGGGGUUUCACCGUGUUGGCCAGGCUGGUCUCAAACUCCUGACCUCAGGUGAUCCACCUACUUCUGCCUCCCAAAGUGCUGGGGUUAUAGGCAUGAGCCAUCAUUCCCCACCCCCAGGUGAUUUUAAUGUGGAGCUGGCUCUGGGAAUGCCUGAUUUACUGUCUGUGUGGCCUUGAGCAAGUGACCUCCGUUGCCCCAUCUGUAGAAUGGGACUCAGGAGAGCUCACAGGAGUCUUCGGAGGCUUUGCUAACAGAUGUCAUCAUGAAUAUCACGUAUGGGGGUUAACUGUGGAUCGGAUACCAGGGAAGAGCAGGACAGCAUUCCUGAAGGAUCAGAUGUUCUCCUGCACAAUGGGCAGGUGAGCUCUGGAUUCAUACUGCCUGGGUGUGAAUCUCGGAACUGUGUGUUCCUGGGAACGUCACCCAAACUCUGUUCUCUAGGUCUCCUCACUAGCAAUAUGGGGCAUUCACAGUACUGGCCACCUGGGGUUACUGUGGUUAGUUACUGUGAGGGUGAGAUAAGGUCGUGGUUUUAAAUGGGGGGUAUGGUUUUGUCCUCCCUGACCCCCACUCUUCCUUGGGGACAUUUGGCAAUGUCUGACAUUUUUGGCGUCACAACUGGCAGGAAGAAGGCUAUGGCUUUGAGUGAGUAAAGGCCAGGGCUGCUUUUAAAUGUGGUGCAAUGUCACCAUGCUACCAAAAAAAAAAGCCAUUCAGCACUUGUAAUGCCCGCUACUCAGGAGGCUGAGGCAGGAGAAUCACUUGAACCAGCCUCAAAGGUUGCAGUGAGCCGAGAUUGUGCCACUGCACUCCAACCUGGACAACAGAGCAAGACACCAUCUGAAAAAAUAAAGUUGGAGUUGAGAGACCCUGAAAUACCAUGAUUCCAGCUAAGACCUCAGCAAGAAGCACACAGCACAUAGUAAAGCCUCAGUAAACAGCACUGACCUCACUGAGGUUCUCUCUGACCCCUAUGUCAUAAGUGGGGUGGCUUCACUCAGGGUGUGGUUCUCAGUCUGUACUUUUGACACCGGAAAGCCCCAUCUGGACACCCUAGGAUGAAGAAUCAAUUGUAACUUCCAGAUAUGGAGGGCUCACUCUAUUCCAGGCCCUGUGCUCACAGCUUCUCAGCAAGCUUUCUUUCCUGGGACUCCUCAACAACAGUGAGGUGUCUUGCUAUUUAUUAGUGCCAUUUUAGAGGAGGACACUGAGGUUCAGGGAGGAUCACAAGUCAUCAAGCUAGUACUGUGCUUAAAUUUAGAUCUAGAUGCUUUUUUUUUUGAUGGAGUUUCACUCUUGUUACCCAGGCUGGAGUGCAAUGGCGCGAUCUCAGCUCACCACAACCUCCGCCUCCUGGGUUCAGGCAAUUCUCCUGUCUCAGUCUCCUGAGUAGCUGGGAUUACAGGCACAUGCCACCAUGCCCAGCUAAUUUUUUUUUUUUGAGAUGGAGUUUCGCUGUUGUUACCCAGACUGGAGUGCAAUGGCACGAUCUUGGCUCGCUGCAACCUCCGCCUUCUGGGUUCAAGCAAUUCUCCUGGCUCAGCCUCCCGAGUAGCUGGGUCUACAGGCGCGCACCACCAUGCCCAGCUAAUUUUUGUAUUUUUAGUAGAGACGGGGUUUCACCUUGUUGACCAGGAUGGUCUCGAUCUCUUGACCUUGUGAUCCACCCGCCUCAGCCUCCCAAAGUGCUGGGAUUAUAGGCGUGAGCCACCGCACCCGGCCUAAUUUUUUGUAUUUUUAGUAGAGAUGGGGUUUCACUAUGUUGACCAGGCUGGUCUCGAUCUCCUGACCUCGUGAUCCACCCGCUUCGGCCUCCCAAGGUGCUGGGAUUACAGGCUUGAGCCACCGGGUGCUCUUUUUCUUUUCUUUUCUUUUCUUUUCUUUUUUUUUUUUUUUUUACUGUCGGGCGGUUGGUUAGCUCACCAACUGAGCUAACCGGCUGCCCGACAGAUCUAGCUGCUCUUAAGGUGCAGAAGAGUGUAUAUAAAGGGUCACCAUUUUUGAAGAAAUAGUGGGAAGAGGGUGUGCUUGUUUAUGUGUAAAAUGUCACUAGAUUUCAACACAAUAAACUGGCAAAGAUG
Molecule: non-coding RNA, 5652 nt
Organism: Callithrix jacchus (white-tufted-ear marmoset)
Lineage: Eukaryota; Metazoa; Chordata; Mammalia; Primates; Cebidae
Source: RefSeq, a predicted model, not a curated record